Molecule: transfer RNA, 85 nt
Filed under: Jeotgalibacillus malaysiensis
Lineage: Bacteria; Bacillati; Bacillota; Bacilli; Caryophanales; Caryophanaceae
Description: tRNA-Ser (TGA) (tRNA-Ser-TGA-2-1)
Rfam family: tRNA
About the family: Transfer RNA (tRNA) molecules are approximately 80 nucleotides in length. Their secondary structure includes four short double-helical elements and three loops (D, anti-codon, and T loops).
Source: RNAcentral
GGAGCCGUGGCAGAGAGGAUUAUUGUAGCGGUCUUGAAAACCGUCGUGGGUAACACCACCGUGGGUUCGAAUCCCACCGGCUCCU